Molecule: ribosomal RNA, 1550 nt
Filed under: Klebsiella pneumoniae
Lineage: Bacteria; Pseudomonadati; Pseudomonadota; Gammaproteobacteria; Enterobacterales; Enterobacteriaceae
Description: bacterial SSU rRNA
Rfam family: Bacterial small subunit ribosomal RNA
Source: RNAcentral
AAAUUGAAGAGUUUGAUCAUGGCUCAGAUUGAACGCUGGCGGCAGGCCUAACACAUGCAAGUCGAGCGGUAGCACAGAGAGCUUGCUCUCGGGUGACGAGCGGCGGACGGGUGAGUAAUGUCUGGGAAACUGCCUGAUGGAGGGGGAUAACUACUGGAAACGGUAGCUAAUACCGCAUAACGUCGCAAGACCAAAGUGGGGGACCUUCGGGCCUCAUGCCAUCAGAUGUGCCCAGAUGGGAUUAGCUAGUAGGUGGGGUAAUGGCUCACCUAGGCGACGAUCCCUAGCUGGUCUGAGAGGAUGACCAGCCACACUGGAACUGAGACACGGUCCAGACUCCUACGGGAGGCAGCAGUGGGGAAUAUUGCACAAUGGGCGCAAGCCUGAUGCAGCCAUGCCGCGUGUGUGAAGAAGGCCUUCGGGUUGUAAAGCACUUUCAGCGGGGAGGAAGGCGGUGAGGUUAAUAACCUCAUCGAUUGACGUUACCCGCAGAAGAAGCACCGGCUAACUCCGUGCCAGCAGCCGCGGUAAUACGGAGGGUGCAAGCGUUAAUCGGAAUUACUGGGCGUAAAGCGCACGCAGGCGGUCUGUCAAGUCGGAUGUGAAAUCCCCGGGCUCAACCUGGGAACUGCAUUCGAAACUGGCAGGCUAGAGUCUUGUAGAGGGGGGUAGAAUUCCAGGUGUAGCGGUGAAAUGCGUAGAGAUCUGGAGGAAUACCGGUGGCGAAGGCGGCCCCCUGGACAAAGACUGACGCUCAGGUGCGAAAGCGUGGGGAGCAAACAGGAUUAGAUACCCUGGUAGUCCACGCCGUAAACGAUGUCGAUUUGGAGGUUGUGCCCUUGAGGCGUGGCUUCCGGAGCUAACGCGUUAAAUCGACCGCCUGGGGAGUACGGCCGCAAGGUUAAAACUCAAAUGAAUUGACGGGGGCCCGCACAAGCGGUGGAGCAUGUGGUUUAAUUCGAUGCAACGCGAAGAACCUUACCUGGUCUUGACAUCCACAGAACUUUCCAGAGAUGGAUUGGUGCCUUCGGGAACUGUGAGACAGGUGCUGCAUGGCUGUCGUCAGCUCGUGUUGUGAAAUGUUGGGUUAAGUCCCGCAACGAGCGCAACCCUUAUCCUUUGUUGCCAGCGGUCCGGCCGGGAACUCAAAGGAGACUGCCAGUGAUAAACUGGAGGAAGGUGGGGAUGACGUCAAGUCAUCAUGGCCCUUACGACCAGGGCUACACACGUGCUACAAUGGCAUAUACAAAGAGAAGCGACCUCGCGAGAGCAAGCGGACCUCAUAAAGUAUGUCGUAGUCCGGAUUGGAGUCUGCAACUCGACUCCAUGAAGUCGGAAUCGCUAGUAAUCGUAGAUCAGAAUGCUACGGUGAAUACGUUCCCGGGCCUUGUACACACCGCCCGUCACACCAUGGGAGUGGGUUGCAAAAGAAGUAGGUAGCUUAACCUUCGGGAGGGCGCUUACCACUUUGUGAUUCAUGACUGGGGUGAAGUCGUAACAAGGUAACCGUAGGGGAACCUGCGGUUGGAUCACCUCCUUACCUUAAAGAA